CCUACGGGAGGCUGCAGUGAGGAAUAUUUGUCAUUGGGCGCAAGCCUGAACCAUCCAAGUCGCGUGAGGGAUGACGGUCCUAUGGAUUGUACACCUCUUUUGUCGGGGAGCAAGGCCCGCCACGUGUGUCGGGAAGGAGAGUACCCGAAGAAAAAGCAUCGGCUAACUCCGUGCCAGCAGCCGCGGUAAUCCGUAGGAUUCGAGCGUUACUCGGAUUUAUUGGUUUUCAAGGGUGCGUAGGCGGAAGGAUAAGUCAGCGGUAACAUGUCUGUGCUCAACAGCGGCCUGCCGUUGAAACUGGUCUUCUUGAGUGAGCGAGAAGUAUGCGGAAUGUGUGGUGUAGCGGUGAAAUGCAUAGAUAUCACGCAGAACUCCGAUUGCGAAGGCAGCAUACCGGCGCUCAACUGACGCUGAGGCACGAAAGCGUGGGGAUCGAACAGGAUUAGAUACCCCGGUAGUC
RNAcentral lists this ribosomal RNA (460 nucleotides) under uncultured bacterium. RNAcentral's name for it is "partial 16S ribosomal RNA". It matches the Rfam family "Bacterial small subunit ribosomal RNA", at positions 338 to 795 of the family's 1533-position model. The record is from RNAcentral.